ACCCCCUGGCAAUAGGCAGAGAGACAACUUGGUGGUGGUGGUGUUCUUACAUCCGUCAGGGCCAGAGCAGAUGGCAGUCCUCUGUUCUUCCUAGCCUGAUGCCUGGCUUGGUGGCCAAAGCUGUCUUACGCCUAGGGCACUUAA
Small nucleolar RNA from Meriones unguiculatus (Mongolian gerbil), 144 nucleotides. RefSeq annotates it as small nucleolar RNA SNORA48. The record is from RefSeq and is a predicted model, not a curated record. Lineage: Eukaryota; Metazoa; Chordata; Mammalia; Rodentia; Muridae. The transcript has a single exon.